This 3401-nucleotide long non-coding RNA is filed under the name Sus scrofa (pig). Its description in RNAcentral is "lncRNA (ENSSSCG00050044500.1)". Lineage: Eukaryota; Metazoa; Chordata; Mammalia; Artiodactyla; Suidae. The record is from RNAcentral.
CACUUGCACUGGCUCAUCCUCUCAAAAGAGGCACGCGCUGCUUUCCGGUUUAAAGGCUAGAUCUUAGCCGUUCCUGUCGUGGCUCACUGGUAGCGAACAUGACUAGGUUCUGUGAGGAUGCAGCCUCGAUCCCCGGCCUUGCUUGGUGGGUUGAAGGAUCUGGCGUGCAGUGUAGGCCGAAGACGAGGCUUGGAUCUGGGGGGGCUGGGGCUGUGGUGUAGGCUGGCAGCUGUAGCUCCAUGUCAACCCCUAGCCUGGGAACUUCAUAUGCUGCACUUGCCACCCUAAAAAGAAAAAAAAAGAAAAAAAAACUAGGUCUCAGUAAACUUCGGUGUUUUGUUUUGUUUUGUUUGCUUUUUAAGGGCCGUACCUACAGCAUAUGGAAGUUCCCAGGCUAGGAGUUGCAUCGGAGCUGCAGCUGCCCGCCUACCCCACAGCCACAGCACUGUGGGCUCCGAGCUGCAUCUGUGACCUAUACCAUAGCUCAUGGCAAUGCAGGAUCCUUAACCCACUGAGUGGGGCUAGGGAUCGAACCCACAUCCUUAUGGAUACUGGUUUGGUUCAUUUCCACUGAGCUACAGUGGAAACCCUGUUUUGUGUUUUGAUGGCAGCGCCUGUGGCAUGUGGAAGUUCUUGGUCCCAGAGAUCAAACCUGCGCCACAGUGACCCGAGCCAAUGCAGUCAGGUUCUUAACCCACUGUACCACAGCGGGAACUCCUGUAAAAUCAGUUUUAACUAAUAGUAACCUUGAUAAAAUAAAUGCUUGGAGAAAUUUGGCACUGAUGAGUGGUCUGAACCAGAUUCCCUUCUUAUCAGACUGCAUUGCAUUCCAUUUGCUUAACGUUUAAGAAAUAGAAACCACUUGGAAAUGAUGCUUAGCUGGGAUGAGAUCAAAACCUUUAAGAUCCUAUUCCUGGGAACUUCCAUAUGCCGCAGGUACGGCCCUAAGAAAGCAAAAAAAAUAAGCACACAAAAAAUAAAGGAAACAAAGUACUAACCAGGUGGGCAACACGUGUGUUUUGUUGUUUGUUUUGUUUUGUUGGCAAAAGGGAAGAAAAAGACAAAUUUGCUCGGAACUUUUUCUUCAUUUCUAGGGAUGGCGAGUAAAGAGAGGUUUUCUUUAUUACGUACUUCCUUAAGAACUUAAAGGAGGAGUUCCCUUGUGGCUCAGUAGGUUAAGGGUCUGGCAUCGUUACUGCUGUGGUUCAGGUUCAGUCCUUGGCACAGCAACUUGUGCCUGCUUUAGUUAUCAGGAUGUGUCUCUAAGGGGUACACUUUAAGGGUUUCUCGAUGGAGUAUUGUUUUUGUUUUCUUUCUUUUUAGGGCCACACCUGCACCUUAAGUUGCACCUGUGGCAUGUGGAAGGUCCCAGGCUAGGGUUCUAAUUGGAGCUGCAGCUGCCAGCCUACACCACAGCCACAGCAACGCAGGAUCAGAGUUGCAUCUGUGACCUGCACCACAGCUUGCGGCAGUGCUGAAUCCUCAACCCACUGAAUGAGGCCAGGGAUCGAACCUGCAUCCUUACAGAUACUAGUCAGGUACUUAACCUGCUUAGCCAUAAGGGGAACUCCUGAGGUAUUGUUUUGGGUUGACGUGGGUGUUAGUCUAACACCGCUGUGUGACCAGCACACGUGACUAGCCAUUUGCUUAAUUUCUUUGACUGGAAUUUCCUAAUUGCUUCAGGUGACUGGAGUUUUAUUGCAUGAUGGAGGUGCCUUCUACGUUUUAAUCUUGAGAACAUGGUUCUGGUUUAAAAUUGUUAGGGGAAUAAUUUGCCUAGCACCUCUCAUGUAUCAGCUUGGAAGUUACUCUUGAAAGAAGAUCCAGGUGAGUUAAAAAUCUCAGCACUAGAUCCCAAACAGAGGUUGUAUUUAGGUUUUUCAGUACAGGUUCUGUACAGGUUUUAUUUUUUACCAGAGUUGAUUUACAAUGUUUUGUCAGCGUCUGCUGUCCGGCAAAGUGACCCAGUCACACGUAUGUACACAUUCUUUGUCUCACAUUCUCCUCCAUCAUGUUCCACCACAAGCGAUUGGAUGUAGUUCCCGGUGCUGUAUGUAUACAGCAGGACCUCAUUGCUUAUCUGUUCCAAAUGCAAUAGUUUGCAUCUACUGACCCCAGACUCCCUGUGCAGCCCACUCCCUCCCCCUUGGCAACCCCAAGUCUGUUCUCCAUGUCCAUGGUUUGUUUGUUUUUCUUUCUGUGGGAAGGUUCCUUUGUGCUGUGUGUUAGGUUCCAGAUAGAAGUGAUACCAUGUGGUAUUUGUCUUUAUCCUUCUGACUUACUUCAUUUAGUAUGAGAGUCUCUCGUUCCAUCCAUGUUAUUGCAGAUGGCAUUGUUUUGUUCAUUUUGAUGGCUGAGUAGUAUUCUACGGUGUAUGUGUACCACAUCUUCUUAACCCAUUCAUCUGUUGAUAUUUAGGUUGUUGCCAUGUCCGGGCUGUUGUGAAGAGUGCUGCAGGGAACAUGCAGGUGCAUGUGUCUUUUUGAAUGAAAGUUUUGUGCAGAUAUGUGCCCAGGAGUGUGGUUGCUGAAUCAUAUGGUAGUUCUAUGUUUAGGUUCAUGAGGUACCGCCAUACUGUUUUCCAUAGUGCUUGUACCAAUGUACAUUCUCACCAGUAGUGUAGGAGGGUUCCCUUUUUCCACACCCUCUCCAGCAUUUGUUAUUUGUAGGUUCUCAUAUUUUCUUGUCAUUGGCUUCAUUGAUUUUUUUCUGCUCUAUUCUUUACACAUUUAAAAAGGUUAUUUCUGUUUCCUUCUUUUCACUUUGGCUUUAAUUUUCCUUUUCUAGCUUCUUAAGUUGGAAACAGAGAGCACUCAUUUUAAUACUUCUUUUCUGAUAUAAGCAUUGAAAGCUAUGCGUUUUCCUCUGUGCACUGCUUUUGCUGCAUCCCAUAAAUUUUGAUGUGUUCUAUUAUCAUUCAGAUUAAAAUAAUCUAAUUUGCUUACAGAUGUCUUUUUUGACUCAUAGGUUACAGUGUUUAGAAGCAUGCUGUUUAAAGUACCAGUGUUUGGCGAUUUCCCAAACAGCUUUUUGUUGCAAAGAGCACUUCAUAGACUUUCACUCCUUUAAAUUUUUGAGAUUUGUACUGUGGCUGAACAUGUCGUCAUCUAUGCGGGCCUGUGCUCUGUAUGUUUGGGAGGAGAGUGCAGCCUCUAGUUGUUAGGAAUGGUGUUACUGGUUGAGGUUGGUUGAUAAAGUUCACGGCUCUCGUGUCCUUACUGCCUUUUUCCGAGAGUCUCCUGAGGUUCACUUGAUGUUCAGUCAGUACAGCCACCCAGGAUUUCUCAGGAUUAACGUUUAAAUGAGGUAGCUUUUUAUCCUUUUACUCUAAACUCAUUCUAUGAGGCCACCAUCACCCUGAUACCAAAACCAGACAAAAUACCAUAUAAAAAGAAAAUUAU